UGCAAGUCGAACGAGAAAGUCCGCAAGGAUAAGUAAAGUGGCGUACGGGUGAGUAACACGUGGAUAAUCCACCUCUUAGUGGGGAAUAACUCUGGGAAACUAGAGCUAAUACCGCAUAAGUCCGAGAGGAGAAAGCAGCAAUGCGCUGAGAGAGGGGUCCGCGGCCGAUUAGCUAGUUGGUAGGGUAAUGGCCUACCAAGGCGAUGAUCGGUAGCCGGCCUGAGAGGGCACACGGCCACACUGGCACUGAAACACGGGCCAGACUCCUACGGGAGGCAGCAGUGGGGAAUCUUGCACAAUGGGGGAAACCCUGAUGCAGCGACGCCGCGUGAACGAUGAAGCCCUUCGGGGUGUAAAGUUCUUUCGGCAGGAACGAUAAUGACGGUACCUGAAGAANAAGCUGCGGCUAACUACGUGCCAGCAGCCGCGGUAAUACGUAGGCAGCAAGCGUUGUUCGGAGUUACUGGGCGUAAAGAGUGUGUANGCGGUGCUCUAAGUUUGGUGUGAAAUCUCCGGCUCAACUGGGAGGGUGCGCCGAAAACUGGAGUGCUUUGAGUGUUGGGAAAAGAAAGCCGGAAAUUCCCUG
This 586-nucleotide ribosomal RNA is filed under the name uncultured bacterium. Its description in RNAcentral is "bacterial SSU rRNA". It matches the Rfam family "Bacterial small subunit ribosomal RNA", at positions 56 to 673 of the family's 1533-position model. The record is from RNAcentral.